UACGAAGGGGGCUAGCGUUGUUCGGAUUUACUGGGCGUAAAGCGCACGUAGGCGGAUCGUUAAGUCGGGGGUGAAAUCCUGGAGCUCAACUCCAGAACUGCCUUUGAUACUGAAGAUCUUGAGUCCGGGAGAGGUGAGUGGAACUGCGAGUGUAGAGGUGAAAUUCGUAGAUAUCGAGAGGAACACCUGCGGCGAAGGCGGGUUGCUGGGCUGAUACUGACGCUGAGGCGCGAAAGCCAGGGGAGCGAACGGG
RNAcentral lists this ribosomal RNA (253 nucleotides) under uncultured bacterium. RNAcentral's name for it is "partial 16S ribosomal RNA". It matches the Rfam family "Bacterial small subunit ribosomal RNA", at positions 524 to 776 of the family's 1533-position model. The record is from RNAcentral.